ACGCAUGCGUAUAACUGGUCGAAGUAUUGCAGGCGCACGACUCGACAAGCAACAGAGUGCUGUGUACAUCUCCGCCUACGUAUUAUUAUUCGUCUGUCUCAUAACCACGCUUUUUGUUGAUCGUGAUCAACCACGAGUUCUAAAUAGUUUCGAAUCAUAUAGAUAAUGAAUUCAUCAUUUGUAAAAGACGUACUAUGGCUUGUCGACAAAACGACGUAAGAAGAGUUUAAUGCGAUAUAAAGGCAAGCAUGAUUCUGGCAGGAUCAGACCAUUUUCUGGCGGUACCGGUGGAAGCAACAGCAUUUCUGGGUGCUGUUGCUGGUUUUGUGGUUCUUCUGUUGGCUCUUUUCCUGUACCUAUCACGCAAAUGGUGCCUUAUUCCGCCGUCCACGACCACACUUUUCGGCGGCGUUUGCGUGCCUCUUUGCGAAUCUAAUAAUGGCUCCACUUCUCAAAUUACAAAGAACAUAGGGAAGGCAUUUUCCUAUUCGGAUCCAGAGACUAGUUCCGAUUCGGAAGAGGAUGUCCUUCGUCGGUUGAAUUCUCACUCUCAUCCACCGCCGGAUACUUUAACUAUCCAAGCAGAGGAUGGACCGACUAUCCUGGAUGCUGGCACCACUUCUAGCAGCUGCACAGAAGAACACUCGUCCAAUGAUCAACAACAAUGCGUGGUAGAAGUGGGAGCUUCCGGUCUUGACAGUAGAGAACAAGAAGUAGAAGUGGAGCAAAAUGGUUCAACUACUAAUGACGUUAUUACAACAAUGGGUACUAUCACCGAAGAAGUGGGUAGUUUGGAAGUCGCUUUUCUAUAUGAUGCACCGAUGCGUGAGAUGACGGUUCAUGUAUUGCAAGGCCGAAAUUAUCCUGAAGGUAUAGGAGGUAGUCAAGUUCGACUAGUAUUAUUACCAUCGAAGAAACAACGACGCAAAACUCGGGUACGCCAGGGUACAUCUCCACAAUACAUGGAGAGUUUUUUACUUCCACGAGUAAAUCCGGAGGAUGUAAAUGCCAUGGGUGUACGCUUAAGAGUAUAUUUAUGGGGUGGAAGAAUGCGUAGAGAGAGAUUGCUAGGCGAAGCGAGAGUUUCUUUCGAUCAAAUUAAUCUUCAGCUUGAAACUACACUUUGGUUAACGCUACAACCUCCACCUUUUUCUUCGGUUCAAGAUUGGGGAACAACUAGUAGUUUGACUCGCAGCGAUUCUACGGGAUCACAACAAUCAGUUCAAUCAUAUGCAUCACCUACUGCACGUGUACCAACUUACACAUCGCAUACUAUACCUCCUUAUGGCAGUAGUAUGAAGGGUGGAAGUGUAGCGGAGAUUUUAAUAGGUUUGGCUUAUAAUGGAACGACCGGACGUUUAUCGGUAGAGAUAAUCAAAGGAUCUCAUUUUCGUGGUGGUGGUGGGAAUGACACGAAACCACCUGAUACAUAUGUUAAACUUUCUCUUGUGGAUAGUAAUGGUCAUGAAAUGGAACGAUCAAAAACUGGUUUGAAACGUGCUCAGCCGAAUCCUCUUUAUAAGGAAACAUUUAUAUUUCAAGUUGCACUAUUCCAACUUGGAGAUGUAACACUCUUUUUAUCGGUUUAUAAUCGACGAAGAGGCGGAAUGGGAAGAAAAGGAAGAGAAAUGAUCGGUUGGCUCAGUUUGGGCUUAAACAGUUCCGGCUCGGAGGAGCUUCAACAUUGGAAUGAUAUGCGUGCAGCAAGGCAACCGACGCAAGUUCAACGUUGGCACUCGUUGCUACGUCCUUGAAACAUACGAUCACGAAAGAAUUUUUGUUACAAAACAACAUUCCAUGUUAACGAUAACGAUAUGGUUUGAUCAAUGGAACACGGUGCAGAUUACGGUUAUUCUUGCAUACCGUGAUAUAUGACUGAUCGUGUAGCAAAGCAACUGAAUUUUUCAAGAUGAAUGCGGCUGCGUUUUAUUGGAUGCCGUUUGUACUGCCCGAACAGAACAAAGAAGUCAAUAUAUUGAUCUGUUGAUCCUGUGAAUCAGAGCUGUCAUAAUUUAGCAUGUGGUAACUCUGAGUUCAAAACUCUAUCGAUGUACCAAGUACAUUCCUUUUUGAUACGGCGGACGGAGUUGAGGGUGUUUCCAACAUACAUAUUACGCCGUGUGUCCAUCGACGGAGAAUCGUCGUGGGAUACCCAGCCGAGUCGAGAGCCCAUUAUGAAUCGCGAUCCUCUAGUCGUUCUCCUUUGGACGAAUUAAAUUAAACUAACGUAACUUUUCCUCUCUCGACUCCGCGAUACUUUCAACGGAAUAUUCGAUUUGCAGUGCUUAUUUGUUCGAUACGUUCGAUACUACGAAUCUUGGUGUUUUGAUCAUAUGGUUCGAGAAUGGAUUGAUAUGCAAAAAGAAUUAACCCCUUGUUGCAUUUGUUCGAUUUUCGACUAUUACUCUUUGUAUGAAAUAGAAAACAAUAUUCCCAAAUAAACAAAUAGGUUAUAUUAAUUUCUUAUAUAUUUAUGUCUAUUUAUUUCUUUUCUAUCUAAUAUUCUUCGUACAUGUAUAUAUUUAUUUAAUAUUGAAUAAUAUUAAAACAACAAAAAGUUACGUCAACAAUGAUAACUUUUCCAAGUUAUUUGAUAUCAGUUAAUCAAUAUAUGUACUAACAACUAUAUUUAUAAUUAUGUGUAAGCGCUACAUUAUGAAUAUUUCGUGUAUGCAAGAUAUCGGUUAAUCAAUUAAUAGCAUCGAGGGGUUAUAGUUAAUCGAUGAAAUAAAAAGAAUUAUGUAUUAUGAGAACAGAUUCACAAUUCAACUACGCACAAUAAACUCAUAAAACACCUUGUAAAUUCAGAUGUGAUCGUAGAGUUAAUAUUACUAAUAAAUUAGUAAUAUAUAUUAUUGUGAGUAUAGAUUACAUAGAAAUGUUUUUUUUCACGCAUUUAUAUUAGUGGGAAUUGGUUACUGAUGAAAUGGGCGACUGAUUAAUGAAUAAAAAAUAUCAGAUACUAUGAAUAGUUUAAUGCUUGACUUUUUCAAGCUUUAUAUAAUAUUUAGAUGAUUAUCAAUGAUUAAUCCAUGCUCGAACUAUUCUCUCGUUUACGUAUUUAGAUAAUAUAUAACACGAUUGCAAGGACUCAGAAGUUCUUUUGAUACAAAUAUAAGUAAAUAAAUACUUAUUAUGAAUUUUCUCUAUAAAAUAUGCAAAAAUUCUUUUUAUGAUGCUUUCUUCGAAAAAAUAUUUUUAGGGCUUUCAAAUUUAGCAUAAUCAUCAAUAAUCGAUAAUAUUGUAGUGAUGACCGUUUGUUGAUACGUCUAACUUAACCUUUUUAGGAAGCGAGAAAAAAAUAAUGGAAGAAAAGAAUAUAUAACAAAGUAUACAAUUGAAUUAUUCAAAUUUCUACUUUGAGUAAAGUUUUAAGCGUAAUAAGAUUUUAGCUAGCAUUAUUAGGAUACUUUUUUUACUUCUGAGUCCUGGUAAAAUAAAUCGUAUAUUGUACAGUCUGUUUAUAAACAACACGAUGUUGAACGGAGAUGAGAGAUUUGAGAAAAAUGUAGAAAAAGCAUAUUCGGUCUCUCGUCACGGAUAAAACGAAUGUAACGUGGAUAAAAACAGAAUGUUUUCGAAAUAUUUAUGACGAUACUUAAUUAAUGAGUAAGGCUUUUUCAGGGUGAUUUCUAUGCCUUUGAUUGUUCCCGAUUUGUUACGAUAUAGUUGUAAUUGCAUCGAACUAUUUUAGAGCAAAUGACUGGCUUUUGCGAGAUGAUUCAAUGAUGAUGAAAUGCAGAAUGCUUGAUUAAAGAUAUUUAAGAUAUUGAUUAGACAAAAAGAGUGUAUGAAGUUAAAUUUUAUUUAUCUAACUACUAAUGUUCUACGAGCAUGAAUGUAUGGAAUGAAAAGAUACUGACAUUACAAUCUUGUUCUCUGGUGUUUUAUUCUAUUGUGUCGCUUUCUCGAGUGUUCGGUGCUUAUAAUGUCGAUA
This 3937-nucleotide unclassified non-coding RNA is filed under the name Apis florea (little honeybee). Its description in RNAcentral is "synaptotagmin-14, transcript variant X1". The record is from RNAcentral. Lineage: Eukaryota; Metazoa; Arthropoda; Insecta; Hymenoptera; Apidae.